UUCUCUCUCUGUUCUAAUUUUUGUCUUUUUAUGAGCAGCCCUAUUUUCAUUUUUUUAAGCAAAAGCGGCAGUGAAUCGGAUCUGAAAGAUAUACCAAAGAUUACUUGUGUGGGUGGAUAAAUGGCCAAUUUGUAUUUUGUUUUUUUUAUUGAAUUUUUCGAAGUGUUGAUUCAGGGAAUACCCAUUUUCUGGUAUUUUAGUUUGGUCACUUUGAGUUUUUUUUUUCUUCGUACUUAUGUUUUUGUUGAAUCUUGGGAUUACUCUUGCCUUUUGAGUUUUGUUUGUUUUUUUUCAAUACAAAUAGUAAUUUUAAAGAAUAUCUUAUUUUAUUAUAUAAUAUUUAAACUAGCAGUAAUUUAGAAUUGAUGUAUGUUAUGCCAUAGAAAAAAAAGAGGAGCAGAAGAAAGAGCAAAUUUUGGACGGCAACAGUCUAUGAAUUUCUCGGGGACACGCAUAUGUUGUAUCUAAAAUUUUGUUUACCUUCCCUUCACCGUACAUUUGAUGGAAAACAUUCUUUUCAGGACGUUAUGCAAUACUAAAGACAUUACAAAAGAGUUUGAUGGUAAUUAAAGAAAUAUUUUUCUUGAGUGGUAGCACAAACUUGUAAGGUGGGCUUUCUAAGACAAUGUAAGUAACGAUAGAGGGUGACGAGGGUGCAUAUUGACUUAGCCGAAGCAUUGGACUGAUGUCUCUUUCUUUGUUGAUUAACUUAGCCGAAGCAUUAAACUGUGGAAGAAUUUAUCAAUUUGAAAUGUUUCCUCAAAGGGUAUAUGCAAGAUCACCACAUCAAGUUUGAUUUAUGGUGCUUAAAUGAGAUGAUCAAGUAUAUUCAAUGUCGUGGAACCAUGGCCAGAAGAUUGAAUUGUUCAUCUGAUGAACAUAGAAACAAGGAAUGGAAGACGAAUUAUGGCGUUCUCUAUUGAAUAUGCUGAAACGAUUGGAAGUGAACAUGAUUAUUUUAGUUUUUCGAAAUAACAAUCUAAGUUCAGUAUAUAAGUUUUACUAUACCUAGUGAAGGGUAUCAAAUCGAACAGGAUAUGUACAUAAUUUAUUUUGUUAUUGUGAUAUAAUAUUCUUAGCCGUUCUUGUAUUAUCUUGAGUUUAAUAAAAAUACAUGUCAUUGUA
Erythranthe guttata (spotted monkey flower) is the source of this 1125-nucleotide non-coding RNA. The record is from RefSeq and is a predicted model, not a curated record. NCBI's taxonomy places the organism in Eukaryota, Viridiplantae, Streptophyta, Magnoliopsida, Lamiales, Phrymaceae.